CCUACGGGCGGCUGCAGUCGAGGAUCUUCGUCAAUGGGCGCAAGCCUGAACGAGCGAUGCCGCGUGAGCGAUUGAAGGCCUUCGGGUUGUAAAGCUCAAAAGGGGUGAGAAAGGGGCAACCUUGAUCGAACCCCAGUAAGCUCGGGCUAAGUUCGUGCCAGCAGCCGCGGUAAGACGAACCGAGCGAACGUUGUUCGGAAUCACUGGGCUUAAAGGGCGCGUAGGCGGGCUCGCCAGUCUGCGGUGAAAUCCUCCAGCUCAACUGGAGAACGGCCGUGGAUACUGCGAGUCUCGAGGGAGGUAGGGGCGUGCGGAACAGAUGGUGGAGCGGUGAAAUGCGUUGAUAUCAUCUGGAACUCCGGUGGCGAAGGCGGCACGCUGGACCUCUUCUGACGCUGAGGCGCGAAAGCCAGGGGAGCAAACGGGAUUAGAUACCCUUGUAGUC
RNAcentral lists this ribosomal RNA (445 nucleotides) under uncultured bacterium. RNAcentral describes it as "bacterial SSU rRNA". It matches the Rfam family "Bacterial small subunit ribosomal RNA", at positions 338 to 795 of the family's 1533-position model. The record is from RNAcentral.